This 366-nucleotide unclassified non-coding RNA is filed under the name soil metagenome. RNAcentral describes it as "partial contains 5.8S ribosomal RNA, internal transcribed spacer 2, and large subunit ribosomal RNA". The stretch from base 1 to 120 matches the Rfam family "5.8S ribosomal RNA", at positions 35 to 154 of the family's 154-position model. The record is from RNAcentral.
GAUGAAGAACGUAGCGAAAUGCGAUAAGUAGUGUGAAUUGCAGAAUUACCUGAAUCAUCGAAUCUUUGAACGCACAUUGCGCCCCCUGGUAUUCCUGGGGGCAUGCCUGUUCGAGCGUCAUUAACAACCAAUCGGGCGGGGCUUUUGCAUGCUCCCGAUCGGCCAUGGGGGAUGGACGUCGUCGGACGCCCACCCCCGAAAUGCAACGGCGGACGGCCACCCGUGGCACUGCGGCGUAGUAAGUUAACCCUUCGCGCGCGCCCACGGAGUGGACUGCCCGGCCGCUUGAACCCCCACACAUCCUACGGUUGACCUCGGAUCAGGUAGGGAUACCCGCUGAACUUAAGCAUAUCAAUAAGCGGAGGA